This 63-nucleotide transfer RNA is filed under the name Ictidomys tridecemlineatus (thirteen-lined ground squirrel). RNAcentral's name for it is "Spermophilus tridecemlineatus (thirteen-lined ground squirrel) tRNA". It matches the Rfam family "tRNA". Rfam says of the family: Transfer RNA (tRNA) molecules are approximately 80 nucleotides in length. The record is from Rfam by way of RNAcentral. Lineage: Eukaryota; Metazoa; Chordata; Mammalia; Rodentia; Sciuridae.
GGGGAUAUAGCUCAAAGGUAGAGCACUUGCCUAGUAUGCAAUAGACCCUGCAUUCAAUCCCCA